Molecule: unclassified non-coding RNA, 237 nt
Filed under: Myrmecridium schulzeri
Lineage: Eukaryota; Fungi; Ascomycota; Sordariomycetes; Myrmecridiales; Myrmecridiaceae
Description: partial contains 5.8S ribosomal RNA, internal transcribed spacer 2, and large subunit ribosomal RNA
Source: RNAcentral
CGCACAUUGCGCCCACCAGCAUUCUGGUGGGCAUGCCUGUUCGAGCGUCAUUUCAACCCUCACGCUUCGCGUGGUGUUGGGGCCUUGCGUCUCGCAAACCCCUAAAUCCAGUGGCGGACACGCCGUGUCUCCGAGCGCAGUAGUUUCUUCUCGCUUCGGGCGUCCGGCGUGGGCUUGCCUCGCACCCCUCUUUCUCAGGUUGACCUCGGAUCAGGUAGGAAUACCCGCUGAACUUAA